RNAcentral lists this long non-coding RNA (220 nucleotides) under Elaeis guineensis (African oil palm). Its description in RNAcentral is "long non-coding RNA (EGUI_LNC025021)". The record is from RNAcentral. Lineage: Eukaryota; Viridiplantae; Streptophyta; Magnoliopsida; Arecales; Arecaceae.
UGUGCAUAGUUCUUUUAAAAAUAGAGAUGGAAGUUAAUAUUCCAAAAAUAGCCCUAGACCGAAUAGACUUUGAAUUGGAUUUUGCUAUGGUGCUCCAAAGAUUAUUCUAAUCUUUUUAUUAUUCAUUCAUUUCUGACCAUCAGAUUAACUAUGGACCAUUCGGAUUUCAACUAAGUAGGUAUCCAUGUACAUAACUGAUGCGAUAAAUAUUUUAAAGAUU